RNAcentral lists this ribosomal RNA (515 nucleotides) under uncultured bacterium. Its description in RNAcentral is "partial 16S ribosomal RNA". It matches the Rfam family "Bacterial small subunit ribosomal RNA", at positions 28 to 523 of the family's 1533-position model. The record is from RNAcentral.
GAUGAACGCUGGCGGCGUGCCUAAUACAUGCAAGUCGAGCGAAUGGAUUAAGAGCUUGCUCUUAUGAAGUUAGCGGCGGACGGGUGAGUAACACGUGGGUAACCUGCCCAUAAGACUGGGAUAACUCCGGGAAACCGGGGCUAAUACCGGAUAACAUUUUGAACCGCAUGGUUCGAAAUUGAAAGGCGGCUUCGGCUGUCACUUAUGGAUGGACCCGCGUCGCAUUAGCUAGUUGGUGAGGUAACGGCUCACCAAGGCAACGAUGCGUAGCCGAACUGGGAGGGGGAUCGGCCACACUGGGACUGAGACACGGCCAAGACUCCUACGGGAGGCAGCAGUAGGGAAUCUUCCGCCAUGGACGAAAGUCUGACGGAGCAACGCCGCGUGAGUAAUGAAGGCUUUCGGGUCGUAAAACUCUGUUGUUAGGGAAGAACAAGUGCUAGUUGAAUAAGCUGGCACCUUGACGGUACCUAACCAGAAAGCCACGGCUAACUACGUGCCAGCAGCCGCCGUAA